AGUGAUAUUGGGGGAAUAGGAAGAGGAACAAACAUUGGAAGCUCAAACACAGUGGUACUUAGAGCGGAAAAAUAAGGACGAGACUCAAAGAAUGUAACAUCCGCACUGACGAUCUCUUUCUUGGUAUGGGGAUCAAAACAUCGAUAGCCUUUUUGAUUGGAAGAAUAUCUAAUGAAUACACAUUUGACAGCUUGGGCAGCAAGUUUGUUUUUGUUUGGGCCCAAGAUGUGUGCAAAACAAGUGCAUUCAAAUGCUUUAGGAGGUAUAUGAAAUAAUGGUCGAUCUGGAUAUAGUAUUUGAAUGGGGAUGCGUUCUUGGAUGGCAGACGAGGGCAAUUUGUUGGUGAGAUAACAUGUGGUAAGAAUAGCAUCACCCCAAAAAUAGGAAGGCAUAUGAGUAUGCAACAUGAGGGUACGACCCAAUGUUGUACGUAUCGUACGAUACGACCCCGUAUCGUACAAUACGUAUCGUAUCGUUUGAAGAAAACGAUACGAUACACCCCUCGUAUCGUAAAAAGGGGGUGUAUCGGCCCUGUAUCGCACGUAUCGUACGAUACAAGGCCCGUAUCGUACGAUACGGGGCGAUACACCCCGUAUCGUACGAUACGGCCUAAAAACGCAAAAGGGGGCCGAGACCUACUUAUUCGGCUUCUUUUUCAAAUUUUUCUUCUGUUCUUCAUUUCUAACGCUUGGAUAGUGCCGUGAGGGAGGGCGAUCGUUCAUUUUGACCCUGAAGAACUUGAUUUUCAUCGUCAAAUCGAAGAUUAAGUGGUCGAUUUGUGCGUGGGUGCUUGAUUUUCGUGGGAAGGAAAGGGGUUUUCUUCAUUUCAGACAUUUCUUCUUCGUAAGGUAUGAAAUCUCAUGUUCUUACCAUGUAUUCUUAAUUUUUUUACCGUAUAAUCGUAGAUUUGAAGACUUUGAGUGUUUUUCAUUAAGUUUACCAUAGGAUUUCGUUUUUUUUUUUGAAGAUAUGGAUCCUACAUGGCAAUGGUGCGAAAGGGUGAAGGAGAAUAACCGUUUGAAACUCAAAUGUGGCUUCUGUGGGAAUACACUUUCAGGAGGGAUUAUUAGAAUGAAACACCAUUUGGCAGGGUCCUCCAAAGAUGCGUCUCCUUGUGUUGGAGGACCAAACAAACCUUUGCCUCCAUUUGUGCGUCAACAAUGUUCAGAUAUGCUUCAUGUUUUACGUCAAAAGAGAAUACAAAAAGAAAUUGAAGAUGCAGAUGUAGGCUAUAAUGUGCCUUUGGAAGAUGAAGAAGAAGAGGAUGAAGCUUAUGAAUGUGAUGAUGAAGACGAUAGCAGUCUAAGAACAGAUUUGGAGACCUCAAGAGGUAGAGAUCGUAGAGGAAAAUGGAUUAUGUAUGAAGGAGGUCGAUCUGGCAUAACGGGAAGGAAGAGGAGAGGCACAACAGAUGUUAGGGCCAGGUGUGGUAUGCGACCACCUAGUGGUAGAGUUCCUACUGGUAGGUCUAGUGUUGGCUCUAUUAAGAGUUUUUUCCCUUCAUAUACCAGCCCAGGUGGUCAGCCGCAGAUUCGUGCUGCUAUGACAUCUAAAGAUAUGCUAUAUCAUGCACAAAAGCAGGUAGGGAAAUGGUUUUAUGAUGCCUGUAUUCCAUUCAAUGCAGCUAAUUCUUUUCAAUUCCAAGCCAUGGCAGAUGCAAUUGCUUCUAUAGGCCCUGGAUUCAAAAUGCCAUCAUAUCAUCAGUUGAGAGGCAAAAUUCUUCAGGAUACAGUCAAAGAAGUGUCUGAGCAUUGCGAUGAGUUGAAAUUAUGUUGGAAGGAAACAGGUUGCUCCAUUAUGUCAGAUGGUUGGACUGAUACAAGGUCAAGAACACUUGUAAAUUUUCUUGUGUAUUGCCCUAAAGGUACAAUGUUCUUGAAAUCUCUUGACUUGUCUGAUGUUCCUAAGACUGCUGAGAUUUUAUUCAAUGUUUUUGAUAAUGUUGUACAAGAAGUUGAACCUGCAAACAUUGUACAGUUUAUUACAGAUAAUGCUGCAAAUUAUAGAGCUGCAGGAGAUUUGUUAUUUCAAAAGUAUAGAACAUUUUAUUGGAGUCCAUGUGCCACUCAUUGUGUUAAUCUAAUGUUUCAAGAUCUUAAUGAGAUGCAUGAUAUGAAAUCAGCCAUUGACCAAUGUCAAGAGGUAACAAAAUUUAUCUAUAAUCAUGCAUAUGUAUUGAGUUUGAUGAGAAAAUUUACAAAAGGAGUUGAAUUAAUACGACCUGCACAAACUAGAUUUGCCACAAAUGUAUUGACUGUGCAGAGUGUGGUGAAACAAAGAACUCCUUUGAGACAGAUGUUUGCUAGUGAAGAAUGGGCUGCAUAUCCACAUGCUCAUAAAAGAAAUGCUUCUUUAGUUGUGGAUAUUAUAUUCAAUAACGUAUUUUGGGAAUCAUGUGUGAAGCUAUUGAAGGUUUGUGUUCCAUUAGUUAAGGUUCUCAGGUUGGCUGACAGCGAGGACAGACCUUCUAUAGGGUACUUAUAUGAGGCUAUGGACAAAGCAAAAGAGGCAAUUUGAGACAACUUAAAGGAAAAGAAAAAGUUAUAUAUGCCCAUAUGGAAGAUUAUAGAUAAAAGGUGGACUGGACAGCUUCAUCAACCUCUUCAUGCAGCAGCUUAUUAUCUAAAUCCUGCAAUUAGAUUUUCUCCUACAUUUAAGAAGGACAGAGAAGUCAUGCAUGGUUUGUUAGAUUGUAUUAAUGUGUUAGUGGAAGAUUCUACAGAACAAGAUGCUGUGCACAAUGAGUUGGAUCUAUAUGAUAGUUGUUUUUGGAACAUGAGACUACCUGCCGCCGUUCGAGCCGGGACAACGAUGCGUCCAGGUAAAUACAUAGAAAUUUUUAAUUUACUUUGCAUUUGUUACAUUUGAUUCUUUUAAAACUUUCACAUUGAUUUGUUAUAUUUUUGUUUAGAUUUGUGGUGGAAUAGGUAUGGGUUUGAUUGUCCAAACCUAGCACGUUUUGCAGUCAAAGUCCUCAGCCAGACAUGCAGUGCUAGUGGAUGCGAAAGGAACUGGAGUGUGUUCCAACAUAUCCAUAGCAAAAAAAGGAAUAGGCUCGAACAUAAAAGGUUGAAUGACCUUGUCUUUGUUCGAUAUAAUAUGAGGUUGAAACAAAGAGAAUUAGAAAAAUCAUUAGCAAGGAAGCACACAUCUCAGUUCGAUCAUAUCAGCUUGGAAAAUUUUGACGAUCUAGAGCCAUGGAUUGAAGAAGAACCAACUACAAUAUUUGAUGAUGAAGAUCUUGAAUGCUUCAACCUUGAAGUUGAAGCAACAGAAGGCUUUGUUGAUGAAGGAGAGUCUGCUACUGCUGGUGCUGGUGCUGAAUAUGUUGGUGAAGAUCUUCCAAUUCUUGACGAUGAAGAAGAAGAAGAAGAUGAAGAUGAAGAUGAUGAAGAUUAUGAAUGAUGAAUCAUGAAUGAGAGUCAAGUCAAGAGUGCUUUCAUUUUAUAUGUAUCAAAAACUUAAGAGUUAUGAAUCUAUGGUUGUUGAACACUUGAUUGAAUGUUUUAUCAUUUAUGACUUUAUCACUUUAUGGCUUAUGGCCUUAUGCUUUGUUGAAUGAUAUUGUAUUAUUGUUAUGAAUUUUGAUGUUUAUGAAUGAUGAACGCGUAAGUUUAUAGCAAUAAUAAGUCUAUCAUUAUCUCAAACAUGUUUUCUAUGAACAAUUUAUUAUUUUUAAUUUUUUCUGAUUUUUUUUAU
Molecule: RNA transcript, 3699 nt
Organism: Nymphaea colorata (pocket water lily)
Lineage: Eukaryota; Viridiplantae; Streptophyta; Magnoliopsida; Nymphaeales; Nymphaeaceae
Exons: 2
Source: RefSeq, a predicted model, not a curated record